RNAcentral lists this ribosomal RNA (401 nucleotides) under uncultured bacterium. RNAcentral describes it as "bacterial SSU rRNA". It matches the Rfam family "Bacterial small subunit ribosomal RNA", at positions 355 to 773 of the family's 1533-position model. The record is from RNAcentral.
UGGGGAAUUUUGGACAAUGGGCGCAAGCCUGAUCUAGCCAUGCCGCGUGAGCGAUGAAGGCCUUAGGGUUGUAAAGCUCUUUCAGUGGGGAAGAUAAUGACUGUACCCACAGAAGAAGCCCCGGCUAACUCCGUGCCAGCAGCCGCGGUAAUACGCAGGGGGCUAGCGUUGUUCGGAAUUACUGGGCGUAAAGCGCACGAAGGCGGACUGGAAAGUCAGGGGCGAAAUCCCGGGGCUCAACCCCGGAACUGCCUUUGAAACUCCCGGUCUUGAGGUCGAGAGAGGUGAGUGGAAUUCCGAGUGUAGAGGUGUAAUUCGUAGAUAUUCGGAGGAAAACCAGUGGCGAAGGCGGCUCACUGGCUCGAUACUGACGCUGAGGUGCGAAAGCGUGGGGAGCAAAC